AUUUUAGAAAAUGUACCUAAAGUGGAAACAUGUUAGGAAUAAUAAUGAUAAUUAAAUAAAGUUUUGAAGGGAUCGGGUUAUAAUAGGCUAGCCAAAAGAACAAACAUGGAAUCAUUUGGCAUGAUGAAGUAUUUGAAUGGCAUAUGUGAAUAUGAGCAAGCCUAUAUUCUGAAAUGGAGACGGUUGUUUCCUAUGUUGAUACAGUAUUACUCUGUGAAUUGUCCUGUGGUCAAAGAUUAUAUUUCUAAGCAACUAGUAGCACAGAUGCCCACAGUACUGUUGCUGUGACUUCCAGUUGUGUUCUGUUGGCUCCCUUUCUGUAUUUGAGAGACAAGGUGUAAAUGGGGAGAUAAUACGAAAGUGAUCUUAAAGACAUGUGGUGUGUGAACCGUGUUCUUGUGGCCCAGGAUUAUGUCCAGUGGCAGACUCUUGUGAAAAUGAUAAAUCUUUGGGUUCUGUUAAAGGUGAUUACCAGCAAAGUGAUCAUUAGUUUCUUCAAGCCUCUACUUCAUCUUUAAUGACUAGUUCAUCUGUGCUGGUGGCAUCAUUCCACAUUCUGCUUAUUAGAAUUUUGUCGUGGACCAGCGACCUCACUUAAAUGGCCCACACCUUGAUAUAGUCCACCUGCAUAGCAGCGCUGUCUUCAUCUACGCCGAGCUGCCAAGAGGAGAGCCACUGACGUCGACCAUUCCAGAAGUCUGUUGAAGCCUGUAGUGAAUUUCAUCGAAUUAGGAAGAGCAGGCGAGUGGAGAAUUUAUAUUAGACCCUGAGCUCGCAUUCCAUCAGUACCUGGUGUCCAGGUGAGGCUGUAGACAUGGAAGUUUUCACACCA
Molecule: non-coding RNA, 832 nt
Organism: Zootermopsis nevadensis
Lineage: Eukaryota; Metazoa; Arthropoda; Insecta; Blattodea; Termopsidae
Source: RefSeq, a predicted model, not a curated record